Molecule: unclassified non-coding RNA, 181 nt
Filed under: fungal sp.
Lineage: Eukaryota; Fungi
Description: partial internal transcribed spacer region
Source: RNAcentral
AGGACGACGACGUGGCUGAGCGAGAAGGCCAGCGCCACGGUGUAGAUGCCCAGCGCGGCGAGGUACUUGCCCAGCACGACCUCGACGUCGCGCGCCGGCAGCGUCAGCAGGAGUUCCUCGGUCCCCUGCCGCCGUUCCUCGGCCCAGACGCUCAUGGUGAUCGCCGGGAUGAAGAACGCAG